This 205-nucleotide microRNA precursor is filed under the name Oryza nivara. RNAcentral describes it as "MIR812 microRNA precursor family". It matches the Rfam family "MIR812 microRNA precursor family". The record is from Rfam by way of RNAcentral. Lineage: Eukaryota; Viridiplantae; Streptophyta; Magnoliopsida; Poales; Poaceae.
AAAAAGACAAACCCUAGUUUCCGUGCCCAAUAUUUAACCGUCCGUCUUAUUUAAAAAAUUAUGAAAAAAAAUUAAAAAGACAAAUCACACAUAAAAUAUUAAUCAUGUUUUAUCAUCUAACAACAAUAAAAAUACAAAUUAUAAAAAAAAUUCAUAUAAGACGGACAGUUAAAGUUGGAUACGGAAACUCAAGGUUUGACUUUUU